This 466-nucleotide ribosomal RNA is filed under the name uncultured bacterium. RNAcentral's name for it is "partial 16S ribosomal RNA". It matches the Rfam family "Bacterial small subunit ribosomal RNA", at positions 28 to 507 of the family's 1533-position model. The record is from RNAcentral.
GAUGAACGCUGGCGGCGUGCUUAACACAUGCAAGUCGAACGAUGAAGCCCAGCUUGCUGGGUGGAUUAGUGGCGAACGGGUGAGUAACACGUGAGUAACCUGCCCUUAACUCUGGGAUAAGCCUGGGAAACUGGGUCUAAUACCGGAUAGGAGCGCCUACCGCAUGGUGGGUGUUGGAAAGAUUUAUCGGUUUUGGAUGGACUCGCGGCCUAUCAGCUUGUUGGUGAGGUAAUGGCUCACCAAGGCGACGACGGGUAGCCGGCCUGAGAGGGUGACCGGCCACACUGGGACUGAGACACGGCCCAGACUCCUACGGGAGGCAGCAGUGGGGAAUAUUGCACAAUGGGCAAAAGCCUGAUGCAGCGACGCCGCGUGAGGGAUGACGGCCUUCGGGUUGUAAACCUCUUUCAGUAGGGAAGAAGCGAAAGUGACGGUACCUGCAGAAGAAGCACCGGCUAACUACGUG